GUAUGUGCUCAAAGUGUCUACAGACUCUCGCAUAGGAAUCUUGAGCUCAGCUGCAUCAGAACCAGCGCAUCCUAGUUUGGAGAUCUCAGAUACAGCAUGGACGGCGGUGGGGAGAGCAUCUCUUUAAUCCAUUGUGCUUCUCUGUCAUAUUUGCUUAGAAUCAAUUUGGGGCCACGUUGGUCCGAUUAGAGACAGAAGCCCGAAGGUAGAGGCCGUGUUUCAGAGCUGUGCACUCUCGGUAGUGCUGGGUCUGCGCGUGUGGGGGGGCGUGCAGAGGAGGACCAAUUGGGAGGUUUGGGAAGGGGGUGGGGGGAGGGUGUCAUGUGUACAGACUAACAGUUGAAAGAAGGGAAAGCUGAAGAGGAGAGAUAGUGCAGGACUCAUUAUCAACUACAGCAGUGUAGAGUUUAGCAGACAUGAGGAGGGCUCCUGAGGGCUGCUAGCACACACACACACACACACACACACACACACACACACACACACACACACACACACACACACACACACACACACACACACACACACACACACACACACACACAAUGCCACUCAUUCUCUCCCCGCUUCUCUCUUUUUCCCCCAAACACUGUUCUUGUCAUUUACUCUUUUUAACUUUCUAAAACAGUUUAUCUCCGUCUCUCCGGGUCCAUCUCUUUUGUGGAGUGUGUAUGAAGAGCCUUUCCGAGUUGGCAUGGAGGGCUCUAAAAGCUAUCAGAAAGGGACAGGCUCUCCCUAGUUGUCUCUGCAGAUUGAUAUCAAGUGUGCUGGAGGACGCAUUGUGCAAUAAUAGCGCAGCGGGUGAAUGAGCGUUAAUAAAAAAAAAAAAAAAAAGGAAAGUAUGGGACGGUGGAUGCAUUCACACAGCAAGCCGGACGCACUCAGAGGGGAAAGCGACAGCUCGCCCGUUAAUUACGCGCGCUAAUAGCACAGCUGCUGAUUCACUCCGCUGUCUAUGAGACUCACAGCGGGAUGUGGAGGCUCAGGCAGGACACGGGAAGCGUUAAGACGGACGUGCUGCGACUCCAGAUCGGGGCUAAAUAAGAAUGCUCCUGGCCAGCUUGUUUCCAUGGCAACUCGCUUCCAGACGAAUCCUUCCCCGGAAUACGCAGCAGGAGCGUAGCAAGCUAAUUAAACUUCAUUUCUACAAGUGUACCCCAACAACUACUACUAGCGUUGGAGCCAGCAAGGCGCGCUGUAACGGUGCCAAACCCUGACUGUUUGUUUUGUACAGUGAUGCAAACUUGCUCAAUUUAUUCCGCGACGUGUGACAUUUAUGAAAAUGUAUUAUUUAUUAUUGAGCUUUAUGCCAUUUAAAUGUCACUUUGAGAUGAUGCUAACGCACAAGGGUUCUUUUCCCGUUUUUCUGGCAUUUGUUUGAUCUAGCUGAAAAACUAACUUAAAGAUAAAGAACUGAAUAAAAAUGA
Long non-coding RNA from Betta splendens (Siamese fighting fish), 1427 nucleotides. RefSeq lists it as uncharacterized. NCBI's taxonomy places the organism in Eukaryota, Metazoa, Chordata, Actinopteri, Anabantiformes, Osphronemidae. The transcript is spliced from 2 exons. The record is from RefSeq and is a predicted model, not a curated record.